GACGAACGCUGGCGGCGUGCUUAACACAUGCAAGUCGAACGGAAAGGCCCUGCUUUUGUGGGGUGCUCGAGUGGCGAACGGGUGAGUAACACGUGAGUAACCUGCCCUUGACUUUGGUAUAACUUCAGGAAACUGGGGCUACUACCGGAUAGGAUCUCCUGCUGCAUUGUGGGGGGUGGAUAUUUUCGGCUGUUGGGGAUGGAUGCGCGGGUUAUCAGCUUGUUGGUUGGGUAGUGGCUUACCAAGGCUUUGAAGGGUACGCCGCCUGAGAGCGUGAACGGGGUCCAUGCGCCUGAGAUACGCCGCAGUGGCGAAUGGGAGACAGUAGUCGCGAGUAUGGUACAACGAGAGCGCGUGUGUUAAGAAAACGUCGGGGGUGGGAAGCCCGUUUUUUGGUAAAGAAAAGCAUCAGGUUGAGACGACGCGUGAGUGACGGUAACCAAUGAAGAAGCACCGGCUAACUUCGUG
RNAcentral lists this ribosomal RNA (468 nucleotides) under uncultured bacterium. RNAcentral's name for it is "partial 16S ribosomal RNA". It matches the Rfam family "Bacterial small subunit ribosomal RNA", at positions 28 to 507 of the family's 1533-position model. The record is from RNAcentral.